RNAcentral lists this long non-coding RNA (2198 nucleotides) under Sus scrofa (pig). Its description in RNAcentral is "lncRNA (ENSSSCG00000039286.3, ENSSSCG00090021948.1)". Lineage: Eukaryota; Metazoa; Chordata; Mammalia; Artiodactyla; Suidae. The record is from RNAcentral.
CCUCUGGAUUGUUGUCUGCUCCAUCCUGCCUGUAGGGAAGUUACCCACAGUAAACUUCAUAAUUGCACUUUAUGGAGUUGCUGGCUUCAUUUUUCAGUCUCCGAGUUCCUUCUCGGUGUGGAGGAUAUUGUUCGAUAACUCUGUCUUCCAGUACAUUGUUCUCUUAUAGUUUAGAAGGAUGAUUCUGGCUGUGGUGUUGAGAAGAGACUCCAGCGAGGAUGGAAGUUGAGACAAACGUGGCAGCAAGAAGACCCUCUAAGGAGCUACGGCAAUAGUAAGGAUUGGCAGUGGCUUGGGAGAGCCACCGUAUCGUCUCUGUGUCAAUGGAGAAGGUGAACAAUUAGUCAGACUCUGGAUCUGUCUUGAGGAUGGAGCCAGAAAAAUUUCCUGACAGAUGAUGCAAGGAAGACUCCAAAAUUGGCCUGAGCAAUGGCAAAACUUCUUCUGUCCUUAAGGAACUGAUUUUACUUUUCUUUUCUUGUUCUCCUUGCUGAAUUCCUUCUCCCAGGAAGAAAAGGACCGAGGUCCUCUCGCCACCAAACUGAAGCUGAAACCUCAGACACUCAGUUCAUCAUUUGAAUGGUAUCAAGAAUAUGAGAUGGUGUGAGGAUGAUGGGAGAAAGGGCAUCUGUUGCUUGUUUUGGUUCCUCCUGAAUCCACAGUCAGUACUCAGUAGAGUAGCCAUGAUUUUAAUUAUUUUAAGAGGAAGAUUCACAAGGAUGUGCCCACAAAACACUGCCAAUUUGCAGCUGAAAAUGAUAACUGGAUUGAUAUUCCUCUUUGAGAUGCAAGCAGAUGCCUCCACCAACUAUCUCGAACCGGAAUGCCGCAGCCUCCCCUUCGUCCGCAUUUAUCCUUGGCAGGAGCACCGUCUAUUUUGGGAAGGACGAAUCCCUGAGGACACCUGCAAAGGACUGGAAGCUCUUAGCAACUCCUUGACCUGAGAGUGAGGAACCGAGUGGCGGGGAGCCCCAGGACCUGCCCAUCAUCACGUCUCUGCAGUGGCCUUGCCACAACCUGCCCGGCGGGUUCUCCUGGAUUGGGGGAAGGUCUGGACCCGUGUCCCUCGGGGGUUCUCCUAGGUCUCUUAUGGAGGAGGUGGCAGGGCAGGGAAUUGCUCAGUGACUUUCGACUCCAUUUCCAAGGCACAUGCAUUGUUAAGUGCUAAGACUUCUGUAAGAUAGUUGGAGUGGAAAAUGGAACCCUUAAUCCUAGACCCUAAAGUUCAACUCUUUCAUGAUCGCUACAAUGGGUGCUAAAGAGAAGAGAACAGAGGAAACAGUCUGGGCAAAUGUAUCCUGUUUGUUGUUAUGGGGCUUUGGUCUCAAAUCUCUGUGGUUGAGCUGAGCUAGUUUGGAGCAUGUGUCAGCUGUGAGCAUGCCCUUUGCCUGUCUAAAUUCAGGUGGAAGACGAAAAGCCUAAUGAUAAGUUCAAGGUCAAAUAAGUCUAAAUAUGAAUAAGAAGCAAUAAAGCAUAGUCCUAAAGUCAGAUGUGAAAGCGAGAGAAUGUGAUGCUUAUGGAUGAGAAAAGUGAGACAGGCCUUAUGGAAUCUCCAGCUUUCAUGCUGGACUUUGUUUGGUAUAGAACCUUCUCAGCAUGGUGCUAGGAUGCUCCCUUCUCAGGAAAUAGCUCAGACGGGAGAAACCUUGAGCUUCUCCCAGUAGCUGAAAGGUGCCUCAAACAUUCAUUACAGCUUCUUAGACAGAGUUCGCUGAGGAAAGUUGUGUUCCCUGGGGCUGAAAAUUCUAGUAGACUGUAGGUGCUUUCAAACUUUGUGGUUUUUAUUUAUUUUUAUUUUAAAAAUUUUUUUGAAAGAUACUUCUUUUAGGCAUAGAAACUUAUACAGAACUCUAAUAUGUAACUGGUUAAAAUGUAUUCUAUUUGUAUAAAUUUAUUUUAGGAACUCAAAUGCAGUGAAGCUUUGCUACAUGCACUCUUUACUGGAUAACAGUGAGGAGAGUGGGCGGGGAGAUAUCCACUCAGUGAAAAGGAGAUUGCAAACCAAAUUUCCAAAAGAAAUAAAGAGAUCAAAAAUUCAGUAAUAUGGUUCUGAAAAACCAAACUGAACAUGAGUUUACGCCAUGAAGUAGCCUUUAUUCUUUAACAUGGAGUGCUCAACAAGAUAAAUGGGAGAAGGAUUUUCAUUAAAAAGAACAGGAAAUUAUGAAACAAAGGCUGGUAAAAAUGAAAAAAAGUUU